Molecule: non-coding RNA, 189 nt
Filed under: Streptomyces coelicolor
Lineage: Bacteria; Bacillati; Actinomycetota; Actinomycetes; Kitasatosporales; Streptomycetaceae
Source: RNAcentral
GGACGCUGAUGGGAUGAUGGCCGGCGACAGGGCGACGACGGUCCGAGGAAGCCGGUGCGAAUCCGGCGCGGUCCCGCCACUGUGAUCGGUGAGCGGAUCCCGAAGUUGCCACUGCCCCGGUAGGGGCGGGAAGGCCGGGACGAGCUGUGACCCGGGAGCCAGGAAACUCACGUCGUCGCCUCCUCGACG